GACGAACGCUGGCGGCGUGCCUAAUACAUGCAAGUCGAGCGAACAGACGAGGAGCUUGCUCCUCUGACGUUAGCGGCGGACGGGUGAGUAACACGUGGAUAACCUACCUAUAAGACUGGGAUAACUUCGGGAAACCGGAGCUAAUACCGGAUAAUAUAUUGAACCGCAUGGUUCAAUAGUUAAAGACGGUUUUGCUGUCACUUAUAGAUGGAUCCGCGCCGCAUUAGCUAGUUGGUAAGGUAACGGCUUACCAAGGCAACGAUGCGUAGCCGACCUGAGAGGGUGAUCGGCCACACUGGAACUGAGACACGGUCCAGACUCCUACGGGAGGCAGCAGUAGGGAAUCUUCCGCAAAGGGCGAAAGCCUGACGGAGCAACGCCGCGUGAGUGAUGAAGGUCUUCGGAUCGUAAAACUCUGUUAUUAGGGAAGAACAAAUGUGUAAGUAACUAUGCACGUCUUGACGGUACCUAAUCAGAAAGCCACGGCUAACUACGUG
Molecule: ribosomal RNA, 497 nt
Filed under: uncultured bacterium
Lineage: Bacteria
Description: partial 16S ribosomal RNA
Rfam family: Bacterial small subunit ribosomal RNA
Source: RNAcentral